This 511-nucleotide ribosomal RNA is filed under the name uncultured Glomus. Its description in RNAcentral is "SSU rRNA". It matches the Rfam family "Eukaryotic small subunit ribosomal RNA", at positions 569 to 1081 of the family's 1831-position model. Lineage: Eukaryota; Fungi; Glomeromycota; Glomeromycetes; Glomerales; Glomeraceae. The record is from RNAcentral.
AGCAGCCGCGGUAAUUCCAGCUCCAAUAGCGUAUAUUAAAGUUGUUGCAGUUAAAAAGCUCGUAGUUGAAUUUCGGGGUCAGUAGGUUGGUCAUGCCACUGGUAUGUACUGGUCUCACUGAUUCCUCCUUCCUGAUGAGCCGUAAUGCCAUUAAUUUGGUGUUGCGAGGAAUCUGGACUGUUACUUUGAAAAAAUUAGAGUGUUUAAAGCAAGCUAACGCUUGAAUACAUUAGCAUGGAAUAAUGAAAUAGGACGUUCGAUCCUAUUUUGUUGGUUUCUAGGAUUGACGUAAUGAUUAAUAGGGAUAGUUGGGGGCAUUAGUAUUCAAUUGUCAGAGGUGAAAUUCUUGGAUUUAUUGAAGACUAAACUACUGCGAAAGCAUUUGCCAAGGAUGUUUUCAUUAAUCAAGAACGAAAGUUAGGGGAUCGAAGACGAUCAGAUACCGUAGUAGUCUUAACCAUAAAACUAUGCCGACUAGGGAUCGGAUGAUGUAAUUUUUAAUGACUCAUUC